AUUGAACGCUGGCGGUAGGCUUAACACAUGCAAGUCGAACGGUAGCAGCUCUAGCUUGCUAGAGGCUGACGAGUGGCGGACGGGUGAGUAACGCGUAGGAAUCUACCUAAUAGUGGGGGACAACCGUGGUGAAAAACCNGGCUAAUACCGCAUACGCCCUACGGGGGAAAGCGGGGGAUCUUCGGACCUCGCGCUAUUAGAUGAGCCUGCGUUAGAUUAGCUAGUUGGUGGGGUAAAGGCUCACCAAGGCGACGAUCUAUAGCUGGUCUGAGAGGAUGAUCAGCCACACUGGGACUGAGACACGGCCCAGACUCCUACGGGAGGCAGCAGU
This 331-nucleotide ribosomal RNA is filed under the name uncultured bacterium. RNAcentral's name for it is "bacterial SSU rRNA". It matches the Rfam family "Bacterial small subunit ribosomal RNA", at positions 30 to 355 of the family's 1533-position model. The record is from RNAcentral.